RNAcentral lists this microRNA (25 nucleotides) under Rhipicephalus microplus (southern cattle tick). Its description in RNAcentral is "rmi-miR-5329". The record is from miRBase by way of RNAcentral. Lineage: Eukaryota; Metazoa; Arthropoda; Arachnida; Ixodida; Ixodidae.
AGCGACUUGAGCGGUUGUGCGUUGU